Molecule: long non-coding RNA, 281 nt
Filed under: Ananas comosus (pineapple)
Lineage: Eukaryota; Viridiplantae; Streptophyta; Magnoliopsida; Poales; Bromeliaceae
Description: long non-coding RNA (ACOM_LNC005871)
Source: RNAcentral
AAUCGGCUAACUAAUUUUUUAAUUUGUUAGAUUUGAAUUAGUCUGUCAACGUUAAGUACUUCAAACUUUAAACUAAUUAUUUUAAUAAAUUCAUAGCUACAAAAAUUACAUAAAGUAUUCUAAUUAAACUGUAAAGAUAAACAACACGUUUAGAUUUUUAAGUCAAUGUGCGGUUGACGGACUCAAACCAAAUAAAUUGAAAGAUUGAAUAGCAAAAUUAAAAUUUUAAAAAAUUAGAAAGUUAACUUAAAAUAAUCUAUAAUUUUCUGUACAAUCUUAUU